UCAGGAUGAACGCUGGCGGCAUGCCUAAGACAUGCAAGUCGUACGAAGCGGCCCAUGGAAGUUAUUGAAGUUGAAGAGCUUGCUCAGAUAAUGGAUUUAAACGGACUUGGAUUACCGCUUAGUGGCAAACGGGUGAGUAACACGUGGGUUACCUACCUCCAAGACGGGGAUAACGGUUGGAAACGACCGCUAAUACCGGAUGUGGUCUACGGAUUAAAGGAGCCUUUAAAGCUUCGCUUGGAGAUGGGCCUGCGGUGCAUUAGCUAGUUGGUGAGGUAACGGCCCACCAAGGCGACGAUGCAUAGCCGAACUGAGAGGUUAAUCGGCCACAUUGGGACUGAGACACGGCCCAAACUCCUACGGGAGACAGCAGUUAGGAAUAUUCGUCAAUGGGGGAAACCCUGAACGAGCAAUGCCGCCGUGAGUGAUGAAGGUCCUUUGGAUUGUAAAACUCUGUUGUUUGGAAAGAAUUGUAAAAAUAGGAAAUGAUUUUUACUUGACGGUACCAUUCAAGAAAGCCACGGCUAACUACGUGCCAGCCGCCGC
RNAcentral lists this ribosomal RNA (546 nucleotides) under uncultured bacterium. RNAcentral's name for it is "bacterial SSU rRNA". It matches the Rfam family "Bacterial small subunit ribosomal RNA", at positions 24 to 518 of the family's 1533-position model. The record is from RNAcentral.